ACAGUUGCCAAGUGUUUCACAUACAUCCUUCCAUUUAACCUUCACUUACUGAUGAGCAGCCUCUCCUCUGAAUUCAGAAAAGCACACAGUGAAGAAGAAUAGCUGCUUUCUAGCAUUCUGCCAAAAGGAUCUACAGGAACCUCAGAGUGAUGGGCACUUAUAUUAUAUCCAGAGAUCUGAGGAAAGAAAAGAGAGAACUGUGAGCUGGUAUGGUUCCUUGCCCACCGCAGCACAAAGAAGAGCCGGCUGGCAUUUGGCAGAUAGCGGUCUGUGACGAGGGGGAAGGAAAUUGCACACAAAGCAAGACGGCUGCACACAGGAGCCGGUGGGGAGUGCUUAGGAACCUCUGGGGCCCAGGCAAUGAUGCGGCUUGAAGGUGGAGAAAACAGCAGUUAUAAAAUAUAAAUGUGUUUAUUAUU
Pan troglodytes (chimpanzee) is the source of this 419-nucleotide long non-coding RNA. RefSeq lists it as uncharacterized. NCBI's taxonomy places the organism in Eukaryota, Metazoa, Chordata, Mammalia, Primates, Hominidae. The transcript is spliced from 3 exons. The record is from RefSeq and is a predicted model, not a curated record.